AGUGAACGCUGGCGGUAGGCCUAACACAUGCAAGUCGAACGGCAGCACAGUAAGAGCUUGCUCUUACGGGUGGCGAGUGGCGGACGGGUGAGGAAUACAUCGGAAUCUACUUUUUCGUGGGGGAUAACGUAGGGAAACUUACGCUAAUACCGCAUACGACCUACGGGUGAAAGCAGGGGAUCUUCGGACCUUGCGCGAUUGAAUGAGCCGAUGUCGGAUUAGCUAGUUGGCGGGGUAAAGGCCCACCAAGGCGACGAUCCGUAGCUGGUCUGAGAGGAUGAUCAGCCACACUGGAACUGAGACACGGUCCAGACUCCUACGGGAGGCAGCAGUGGGGAAUAUUGGACAAUGGGCGCAAGCCUGAUCCAGCCAUACCGCAUGGGUGAAGAAGGCCUUCGGGUUGUAAGGCCCUUUUGUUGGGAAAGAAAAGCAGCAGGUUAAUACCCCGCUGUUCUGACGGUACCCAAAGAAUAAGCACCGGCUAACUUCGUG
RNAcentral lists this ribosomal RNA (492 nucleotides) under uncultured bacterium. Its description in RNAcentral is "partial 16S ribosomal RNA". It matches the Rfam family "Bacterial small subunit ribosomal RNA", at positions 29 to 507 of the family's 1533-position model. The record is from RNAcentral.